This 100-nucleotide unclassified non-coding RNA is filed under the name Blechomonas juanalfonzi. Its description in RNAcentral is "trans-spliced leader sequence SL". Lineage: Eukaryota; Euglenozoa; Kinetoplastea; Trypanosomatida; Trypanosomatidae. The record is from RNAcentral.
AACUAACGCUAUUAUUGAUACAGUUUCUGUACUUUAUUGGUAUGAGAAGCUUCCGGCAAAAGCACCCAGUGCUAGCACCGGAAAAUUUUGGAAUCGAACC